RNAcentral lists this transfer RNA (125 nucleotides) under Alloalcanivorax xenomutans. Its description in RNAcentral is "tRNA-Leu". Lineage: Bacteria; Pseudomonadati; Pseudomonadota; Gammaproteobacteria; Oceanospirillales; Alcanivoracaceae. The record is from RNAcentral.
AUAGGAGUGGCUGAUAGCAAGGAACUUUGGAUUUCUAUGAUGCUCUGAUGAGGAAGCCAAGCGCGACGGAUUCAAAAUCCGUUGCCUUCGCGGGCGUGCCGGUUCAAGUCCGGCCUCUGGUACCA